Molecule: long non-coding RNA, 603 nt
Organism: Bubalus bubalis (water buffalo)
Lineage: Eukaryota; Metazoa; Chordata; Mammalia; Artiodactyla; Bovidae
Exons: 3
Source: RefSeq, a predicted model, not a curated record
GAGUUCUUCAUUGUGUUCACAGUGAAACCGUAGAAGGAGAUCUUGGUGCCCACGUCAUUCUCGAAGCCUUUGAUCACCGCACCGUUGAGUCUGGUCCGAACAGAGGCUCAUCAGCCUGCUUGGUGGCUACACGGUACUGGUAGCCCGCCACUGUACCUUUCGUGUCCUAGGAUUUGGUGCCUUGGGUCCAAAGAAAGCUUGAGACAAUGACGUGGUGUUCCUGGGGGAGAAGGCGGAAGUAAAGCUGGGGUCUGACCUGCCCCCGGAGCGUGCUCGUCUGCAGGGAUGAUCAUGCAGGUACGCAGAUGGUCAGAUUGAGACAGGCUGGGGCCUGGGACCCUUUGCUGCAGUGCUUGCGCUUGGACAAACAUCUCCUCGAGCAACAAAAUGCAAAGUAAACUACAAGGGACUAAAGUAGCUGAGUACAUGCGGCGGCUGGGGCAAAUUAUGAACAAAAGAGAUACAGAAAGACCAACAUCUGAGCAGAAGCAGGUAUGCACAUUGACCCUGCACGUGGCACCACUAAGGGGGUGGGCAGGCCACCUAAGCCACCUCUCUGGCCUGACCCCCUGGACCCAUCCCUACUGUCAUCCUGUAGAAGGA